This 253-nucleotide ribosomal RNA is filed under the name uncultured bacterium. RNAcentral's name for it is "partial 16S ribosomal RNA". It matches the Rfam family "Bacterial small subunit ribosomal RNA", at positions 524 to 776 of the family's 1533-position model. The record is from RNAcentral.
UACGUAGGGUGCAAGCGUUAAUCGGAAUUACUGGGCGUAAAGCGCGCGUAGGCGGACCUGCAAGUCAGAUGUGAAAUCUCGGGGCUCAACCUCGAAACUGCGUCUGAAACUACAGGUCUAGAAUCUUGGAGGGGGUAGGGGAAUUUCGCAUGUAGGGGUAAAAUCCGUAGAUAUGCGAAGGAACACCAGAGGCGAAGGCGCCUGCCUGGACAAGUAUUGACGCUGAGGCGCGAAAGCGUGGGGAUCAAACAGG